AUUUAAGUAAUUUAAAAAAAAAUAUUAAUUUGUGGAGUUAAAAAUAUGAAAUAUCAUCUUAAAUUAUUAAUAAAAAUU
This 78-nucleotide transfer RNA is filed under the name Pseudocoladenia fabia. Its description in RNAcentral is "Pseudocoladenia dan fabia tRNA-His". Lineage: Eukaryota; Metazoa; Arthropoda; Insecta; Lepidoptera; Hesperiidae. The record is from RNAcentral.